GGGGUCGUGGUGUAGCCUGGCCUAACACGCUGCCCUGUCAAGGCAGAGACCGCGGGUUCGAAUCCCGUCGACCCCGCCA
RNAcentral lists this transfer RNA (79 nucleotides) under Elusimicrobiota bacterium. RNAcentral's name for it is "Elusimicrobia bacterium tRNA-Asp". It matches the Rfam family "tRNA". Rfam says of the family: Transfer RNA (tRNA) molecules are approximately 80 nucleotides in length. The record is from RNAcentral. Lineage: Bacteria; Pseudomonadati; Elusimicrobiota.